This is a non-coding RNA of Pelobates cultripes (western spadefoot toad), 209 nucleotides long. The record is from the annotation of a GenBank genome assembly. NCBI's taxonomy places the organism in Eukaryota, Metazoa, Chordata, Amphibia, Anura, Pelobatidae.
CAUUUAUUUAGCGCCAACAUUUUCCUCAGUGUUUACUGAAACGAUUGUGAGGAUAUUACAGCAAACAAAAAAAUUAUCACACGUCCUUCAAGAAACCAAUCAGAAUAGGAGAUACAUAGUGGGCACAGCUAGUGGUCCUCCAUGAGCCUGGACACUAACAUAUCAACAGCAAAAAAAUACCAUGGCUUAGACCUAAAGCAAAAUUUGGC